RNAcentral lists this transfer RNA (76 nucleotides) under Acinetobacter sp. F_3_1. RNAcentral's name for it is "tRNA-Lys". It matches the Rfam family "tRNA". From Rfam's summary of the family: Transfer RNA (tRNA) molecules are approximately 80 nucleotides in length. Their secondary structure includes four short double-helical elements and three loops (D, anti-codon, and T loops). Lineage: Bacteria; Pseudomonadati; Pseudomonadota; Gammaproteobacteria; Moraxellales; Moraxellaceae. The record is from RNAcentral.
GGGUCGUGAGCUCAGCUGGUAGAGCAGCGGACUUUUAAUCCGUUGGUCCCGCGUUCGAAUCGCGGACGCCCCACCA